Molecule: unclassified non-coding RNA, 309 nt
Filed under: plant metagenome
Description: partial contains 5.8S ribosomal RNA, internal transcribed spacer 2, and large subunit ribosomal RNA
Rfam family: 5.8S ribosomal RNA (bases 1-107)
Source: RNAcentral
GCGAAAUGCGAUAAGUAGUGUGAAUUGCAGAAUUCAGUGAAUCAUCGAAUCUUUGAACGCACAUUGCGCCCCUUGGUAUUCCAUGGGGCAUGCCUGUUCGAGCGUCAUUUGUACCCUCAAGCUCUGCUUGGUGUUGGGUGUUUGUCCCGUCUCCGCGCGUGGACUCGCCCCAAAGUGAUUGGCAGCCGGCGUACUGGUCCCGGAGCGCAGCACAUGUCGCGCAAACGAGUGCCUUGGUACGGCGGCGUCCAUAAGCCCCUCUCUCACGCUCUUGACCUCGGAUCAGGUAGGGAUACCCGCUGAACUUAA